This 381-nucleotide long non-coding RNA is filed under the name Lynx pardinus (Iberian lynx). The record is from RNAcentral. Lineage: Eukaryota; Metazoa; Chordata; Mammalia; Carnivora; Felidae.
UCUUCCCUCCUCUUCUCCACGAUGGCUGCCAGGCCAGCGCCAUAGAGCUGGGCUGCCCGCCGGGACACAGCUCCGCACACCUCCUUCACCACAAUGCUGUCCUCACACGUGCUGUCCAGGCCAAGCUGCUGCAGGAUCCUCCUGACCUGGAGGAGGGCCAGCCGAUCGCUGCAGACAAGCAGAGCGGGAUGUCAGGACCUGCUUCGGGGGCCCCGGAACCUGCUCCACAUGGCUCACAGCCCCCCGUCCCAGAUGCCCUAGGCAGAGGGAGGAGAAAAUGAUCCAAGAAAUGGCUAAGUUAGAGCAGAAUGCCACAGAAGCUGAGACUCAAGAAAGUCUGCCGCCCCCAGGAAGUCCCAUCAUCUUUACAAAAUAAAGCGU